CACAUGGCUAGAUCUCCUUGUCAAAGCCUAAUCUCAUCAGAUCUCAGAAGCCAAGCAGGGUUCGGCCUGGUUAGUACUUGGAUGGGAGGCCGCUGGGAAUUCCAGGUGCCACAGUGC
RNAcentral lists this ribosomal RNA (117 nucleotides) under Periophthalmus magnuspinnatus. The record is from RNAcentral. Lineage: Eukaryota; Metazoa; Chordata; Actinopteri; Gobiiformes; Gobiidae.